GACGAACGCUGGCGGCGUGCUUAACACAUGCAAGUCGAUCGGUAACAGGUGUAGCAAUACAUGCUGACGAGAGGCGGACGGGUGAGUAAUGCUUGGGAAUCUGCCUAUUAGUGGGGGACAACCCGGGGAAACUCGAGCUAAUACCGCAUACGCUCUACGGAGGAAAGCCGGGGACCGCAAGGCCUGGCGCUAAUAGAUGAGCCCAAGUCGGAUUAGCUAGUUGGUAGGGAACGGCCUACCAAGGCGACAAUCCGUAGCUGGUCUGAGAGGACGACCAGCCACACCGGAACUGAGACACGGUCCGGACUCCUACGGGAGGCAGCAGUGGGGAAUAUUGGACAAUGGGGCAACCCUGAUCCAGCGACGCCGCGUGGGUGAAGAAGGCCUGCGGGUUGUAAAGCCC
Molecule: ribosomal RNA, 403 nt
Filed under: uncultured bacterium
Lineage: Bacteria
Description: bacterial SSU rRNA
Rfam family: Bacterial small subunit ribosomal RNA
Source: RNAcentral